CGUGCCUAAUACAUGCAAGUCGAACGGUCUUUCUAUGGAAGCUUGCUUCCGCUGAGAAGAUAGUGGCGAACGGGUGAGUAACACGUGGGUAACCUGCCCAUAAGAGGGGGGAUAACAUCCGGAAACGGGUGCUAAUACCGCAUAGUUUCUUGAUCGCAUGAUCGGGAAAGGAAAGACGGCCUUUGUGCUGUCGCUUAUGGAUGGACCCGCGGCGUAUUAGUUAGUUGGUGAGGUAACGGCUCACCAAGACGAUGAUACGUAGCCGACCUGAGAGGGUGAUCGGCCACAUUGGGACUGAGACACGGCCCAAACUCCUACGGGAGGCAGCAGUAGGGAAUCUUCCGCAAUGGACGAAAGUCUGACGGAGCAACGCCGCGUGAGUGAAGAAAAGGUUUUCGGAUCGUAAAACUCUGUUGUCAGAGAAGAACAAGUUGGAGAGUAACUGCUCCAGCCUUGACGGUAUCUGACCAGAAAGCCACGGCUAACUACGUGCCAGCCGCCGC
This 503-nucleotide ribosomal RNA is filed under the name uncultured bacterium. Its description in RNAcentral is "bacterial SSU rRNA". It matches the Rfam family "Bacterial small subunit ribosomal RNA", at positions 43 to 518 of the family's 1533-position model. The record is from RNAcentral.